Molecule: transfer RNA, 84 nt
Filed under: Thermoplasmatales archaeon
Lineage: Archaea; Methanobacteriati; Thermoplasmatota; Thermoplasmata; Thermoplasmatales
Description: tRNA-Leu
Rfam family: tRNA
About the family: Transfer RNA (tRNA) molecules are approximately 80 nucleotides in length.
Source: RNAcentral
GCGGGGGUUACCGAGCCUGGAAAAGGUGCAGGGCUUAGGACCCUGUCUCGCAGGAGUACGCGGGUUCAAAUCCCGCCCCCCGCA